UGGGGAAUUUUGGACAAUGGGCGAAAGCCUGAUCCAGCAAUGCCGCGUGUGUGAAGAAGGCCUUCGGGUUGUAAAGCACUUUUGUCCGGAAAGAAAUCCUCUGGGUUAAUACCUCGGGGGGAUGACGGUACCGGAAGAAUAAGCACCGGCUAACUACGUGCCAGCAGCCGCGGUAAUACGUAGGGUGCAAGCGUUAAUCGGAAUUACUGGGCGUAAAGCGUGCGCAGGCGGUUUUGUAAGACGGAUGUGAAAUCCCCGGGCUUAACCUGGGAACUGCAUUCGUGACUGCAAGGCUAGAGUAUGGCAGAGGGGGGUAGAAUUCCACGUGUAGCAGUGAAAUGCGUAGAGAUGGUGGAGGAAUACCGAUGGCGAAGGCAGCCCCCUGGGCCAAUACUGACGCUCAUGCACGAAAGCGUGGGGAGCAAACAGGAUUAGAUACCCUGGUAGUCCACGCCCUAAACGAUGUCAACUAGUUGUUGGGGAUUCAUUUCCUUAGUAACGUAGCUAACGCGUGAAGUUGACCGCCUGGGGAGUACGGUCGCAAGAUUAAAACUUAAAUGAAUUGACGGGG
Molecule: ribosomal RNA, 571 nt
Filed under: uncultured bacterium
Lineage: Bacteria
Description: partial 16S ribosomal RNA
Rfam family: Bacterial small subunit ribosomal RNA
Source: RNAcentral